ACGGGUGAGUAACACGUGGGUAACCUGCCUCAAAGAGGGGAAUAGCCUCCCGAAAGGGAGAUUAAUACCGCAUAAUAUGUUUUGAUCGCAUGAUCUUAACAUCAAAGGAAUAGUCUUCGGAUUAUUUCACUUUGAGAUGGACCCGCGGCGCAUUAGCUAGUUGGUGAGGUAAAGGCCCACCAAGGCAACGAUGCGUAGCCGACCUGAGAGGGUGAUCGGCCACAUUGGAACUGAGACACGGUUCAGACUCCUACGGGAGGCAGCAGUGGGGAAUAUUGCGCAAUGGGGGAAACCCUGACGCAGCAACGCCGCGUGAAUGAUGAAGGCCUUCGGGUUGUAAAGUUCUGUCUUCUGGGACGAUAAUGACGGUACCAGAGGAGGAAGCCACGGCUAACUACGUGCCAGCAGCCGCGGUAAUACGUAGGUGGCAAGCGUUGUCCGGAUUUACUGGGCGUAAAGGAUGCGUAGGCGGACAUUUAAGUCAGAUGUGAAAUACCCGAGCUUAACUUGGGUGCUGCAUUUGAAACUGGGUGUCUAGAGUGCAGGAGAGGUAAGUGGAAUUCCUAGUGUAGCGGUGAAAUGCGUAGA
Molecule: ribosomal RNA, 588 nt
Filed under: uncultured bacterium
Lineage: Bacteria
Description: bacterial SSU rRNA
Rfam family: Bacterial small subunit ribosomal RNA
Source: RNAcentral